Molecule: non-coding RNA, 9584 nt
Organism: Zootoca vivipara (common lizard)
Lineage: Eukaryota; Metazoa; Chordata; Lepidosauria; Squamata; Lacertidae
Source: RefSeq, a predicted model, not a curated record
GCGGCGAGAGGCGAACAAAGAGCGCCGGCAGCCGCGCCAAGCGGAGGGAGCGUGUGGGCCGGCGGGGCAGGGGCCAUGUCGGGCACGGAGCCUCCGAAGCCGGGGCCGCGGGGCCUCCUGGGCCUCCUGAACCCGCGGAGCUGAGGCGGCGCUGCUGCUGCUGGCCUUGCCCCCUCAUGGCCGUGGGAAGGGGCAGCUCCUCCGGGUGAAGGAAGGAAGGAAGGAGGUGGCGCGGCGCCCCUGAGGGGAGAAGGAGGCGGCGGCGGCGGCGACCGGGGGAGGCGGAGGCGCCUUCUCUCCUCGGGCCGGGCAUGGCGGCGUCGGCGGCGGCCGGCGUGAGCUACUCUCCUCCGUGGUGGGUGAGCCUCCUGCACCGCCUGCCCCACUUCAGCCUCCGCUGGGAGGCCGUCGGCGACGACUUCCGACCCGAGGACGCCGAGUACCAGCAGGCCCUCUUGCUGUUGGGUGGUGUUGCUCUCUCCUGCCUUGCUCUGGAUCUCCUCUUCCUCCUUUUCUAUUCCUUCUGGUUAUGUUGUCGCCAUCGGAAAACUGAAGAACAGCUGAAUGCAGAUUGCUGCUGUACAGCCUGGUGUGUCAUCAUUGCAACUCUGGUCUGCAGUGCUGGCAUAGCUGUUGGCUUCUAUGGAAAUGGGGAGACCAGUGAUGGCAUUCAUCGGCUAACAUCUUCAUUGCGGCAUGCCAAUCUCACUGUUGCAGGAGUCCAAGACCGGGUGCAAAACAUUGCAGUUGCUCUGAACAAAACAGCAGAGCCCAACUUGGGGUUCCUGGAGGUAAUGUUUGCUAAACAGACAGAUUACCUGCAUGUGGUUCAAAAGCUCCAAGGACUCUUGGAUGAACUUGUGAGGCAGACAACAGAGAUUCCUUUCUGGAAGAAUGAUGACAUCUCUCUAGAAUUGCUGGCAGGUCGUAUUGAUCUGUAUGACUGGUACAGGUGGCUGGGAUACCUGGGCUUACUCAUGUUCCAUGUCCUAAUAUGUUUGCUGGUGCUAUUUGGACUAAUUAGAAACUCAAAGGCCAUUCUUGUGGGAGUGUGUCUUCUAGGCGUGCUUGCCCUGAUUGUGAGCUGGGGGUCCCUGGGUCUGGAGUUAGCUGUUGCUGUGGGUUCCAGUGACUUCUGCGUUAACCCUGAUGCCUACAUCUCCAGAGUGGUAGAGGAUUAUGCGGUGCUAAGUACAGAUACUCUGAACUAUUAUCUUGUCUGCAAUGCUGGCUCCCUAAAUCCGUUUCAGCAGAAGCUGUCAGGAAGCCACAAGGUCCUGGUAGAAAUGCAGGAUGAUGUGCUGGAGCUGAUGAAGUCUGCCGUCAAAGAAUACCCCGCUUCCAAGGAGCACAUCAGUCAAAUCCAGGGAGUUCUGAAUACCACUGAAAGCAACCUGCAGCACCUGACUGCCCUGGUGGACUGUCGGAGCCUGCAUUUGGAUUACAUACAAUCUCUGACGGGCUUCUGCUAUGAUGGUGUGGAAGGGCUUAUCUAUCUGGUUCUCUUCUCCUUCGUCACUGCCCUCAUGUUCAGUUCUAUAGUGUGCAGCGUCCCGCACACUUGGCAGCAAAAGAGGAGUCCAGAUGAUGAUGGAGAAGAUGAAUCGACUGCUCAAGGGAACAGGCAAACACACGACAACUUGUACAGGGUGCACAUGCCUAGUCUUUACAGCUGUGGGAGCAGCUAUGGAAGCGAGACCAGCAUCCCAGCAGCGGCGCACACAGUCAGCAAUGCUCCCGUCACAGAGUACAUGAGCCAGAAUGCAAAUUUUCAGAACCCCCGAUGUGAGAAUACACCUUUGAUUGGCCGGGAGUCUCCACCUCCCUCCUUGUAUUUGGCUGCCAUGGACAGUAGCAGCCAUAUGAGCUGGCAGCUUAAGCCCUCGGACAGUGCUCGGACGUACUGGUAACAGCGCCCGCAAAAUCGGAACAGUUGCUGAGAAGGGGCCAAAGGUUAUCAGCAAAAUAUUUAUGACAGUUGCAAGAUAUUGAAGCUACCAACAUUCACAGUAUCAUUCAGUACACCUCCAGCAUGAGAGCCAAAUACCUCGCCACCAACCAGCCUCGGCCAGACUCUGGCAGUGUGCAUUAAAAACUAGAAUGUGGUCUAAGUUUUUUAAAAAAGGAACAAAACAUGCCAACUGCUGCCAUCCUGUGUUGUCCUCGCAGAACAGCCCUGCUUUUUUCCUGUCCUGAAUCCAGCUCAGUUGCUUUUCUUGCUCCUCUACCCCUUUGGAGUGCACUUGGGGCAAAACUAGGUGGAAGCUUAUUGCUGAUUAAGGCUAUGCUUACUUGCAACUGUGUGUGCAGGAGUGGACAGAGAAGCAAGGUCCUGUGCACACCUGCAGGAGACUCGCCAGUUCACCUAUGUUGCCCUGCUAUGUGUGGGAUCAGCUUUCGUUGAUCGCCGAUCAGGAAAUUGCAAGCCGCUUGCCACCUUUUCUGCCAGGCCUCUGUCUAAUUCAUUGAGGACGAAAAUGGUGUUGUGAGUGAAGCCUAGAAAAAGUGGAUCAUCUUACAGAAGUACUAUGGAUGUGACAUACUAAUCUGAGGAAGCCAUAUUUAAUGCGCACACUGUCAGAAAGUUCACGUGCACUCAGCUCCUACUGCAUAUCUCUCAUCUCUGUGCUACUCUAGAGAAGCGUCUCCUCAUUCCAGGAUCGACAAAUCUGGGAGGCCACCUUCUCCCUUCCGUGUUAGAAUGAGAAGGCAUGCUGAUUCAAUCAUCCUCUUCCAGUACAAGUUUACUUCUCUCUCCCUCUCUUUAGACCUAGGUGCAAACACCUGGGGAGAAGUAGGGGGCUUCCUUUACCACCAACUGCUGUAUUCUCACUCCCCACACGCUAUGCAUGCACCCACAUGCAUGCAUGAGUUCACAUCGGCUGUGCUGGAUUUUCCUACUCUACUUUGCCACUAGACUUUCUAAUAGCAAUCAGCAGAUGUUCUUUGACACUGAUGUACAGACAUGAAACUGGAGCCAGCAUUCCUUCUGGUGCCAAAAUAUUUCAGGACAAUGCUUAAGGAGCAUUAGACGGGGGAGAGAAGCAUCUUAUCUCUGCUGCCGGCCACAUGGCACAAGUGUAACAUGAUAAAAGUGCAACUAAGAGUGCCAGCCAGGUUUGGUGCAAAUGUUCCCCUGUGGCAAGAUGGACUUAUUGCUUAUUCUGAGCACUGGGACAUGCAAGAUCCUAGAAGCGUUGGGUUCUGAUAUAGACCUUUGGGAGCUCCACAAUCAAUCUACAGAUUUAUGCUAUUCUUGUAUCCCAGAAUUGGAGAGCAAAAAUACUGUGAAUGUCAGAACAGGUUUGAUAUUUCUCCCACCACCCUCUUUGGCCCAUCAUGCUAAUCUCUCAUAUUGGCUGCACAAACCACAUUCCAGUUGCUGCGCUGGCAGCAAAGAUCAACGGCAGAUUGAGGGAGAUCAAAGUUCAGGGAUGCCUACACCAGUCCCACAGCUGCUGCAUCGAAGGUGCUCUAUUUGAUAAAAACCAUGGGGGUCCAGGGGUGGGGGGACAGGGAAGGUCUUUACUUAUUUAAUACUUUGAUUUUUCAUUUCUGUGUCACUUAUCCCGUAACAAGUGACUAGAGACAGGGUAAAAUACCUCCCAAUGUCAGCUGGGAUACCAGAUUACUUUUUUUGUGUGGCACCAUUGUCAGAACUUGGUCCUCAUUUAAGUUCACGUAGAAGCCACAGUGAGUUUAUCCCAUCACCUAGGACAGUACUGGAGGAGACCUCCUCCAGACAUAGAAUGAUAGAAUUGUAGAGUUGAAAGGGACCUUGAGGAUCAUCUAGUCCAAUCUCCUGCAGUGCAGGAACAUGCAGCUGCCCCAUACAGAUCAAGCCUCCAGCCUUGAUGUUAGCAGCACCACAUACUAACCAACUGAGCUGUUCACCCACUUGAUAACCCCUAUCUCUUCCAUUAGCUUCUCUCUUAGCAAAGGGCUGCGUCCAGGGGAAGGUUUUUAUGCCUUCUCCUUGGAAAUAGGUUGCUUCCUACAAGGGUGUGACUCCUUUGCAGUCUGCUUACUGAGAAAGUGGAGGAUGCUAGAGGACCAUGGGAUCUUUGGGUGCUGCCUGCAGAAGGAUAGAAAGAAAGAUUGAAACAGUCUUUAGUCAGUUGUCAAAAAGAUUUACAUGUAUAUGAGCAGCAUAGUAAGCCUUUAAAUUUACCUCUGGGUAUAGAUUAUGGUCAUGUGCUACCCAAUACUAUUAGGAGAGGGGUCUAGAAAGUUAAAGACUGUAAAUGUUUAUGUCCACCCUGCCGUUUGGCAACCUUUUGAUAAUUACUUUCCAUCUGGCUAGCUCCAGAACUGGUCUCUCUUCCCACUCUAAGGACCAGACUACGCAUUGCAAAGCAAGCAAACCCACAUUUGCCAUUGAGUGCACACUCAGUUGGGAGUUAAUCCUCAUUCUGCUUAGGUACAUGGUUUUGAAACACCUUGUUUUUUCAUGCUUCUAAAACAAGAAAAUGUAGGUGUACACUUAAAACAUCUUAAAUUUAUGGAACAGUUUUCAGAUUAUACUGGAGAAGCAGCCCUAAAAUAGCACCCUUGGUAGCCUAGCCAUGACUUUUAAUGGCUUAAGAAAGGCAAGCCUUCAAACAAGGUCUCUCCCACCCCACACCCACUAGUGUAGAAAGGAAGAGAUUCAUAGAGUAUGAAAUCAUAGAACUGUAGAUUUGGAAUGGACCCCAAGGGUCAAGUAGCCCAACCCCCUGCAAAUGCUCCAAUAAAUGCUGUCUGUGCAUACUGAUGCUAACCAAGGGACCAACGAUAACAUUACAGUAACCACUAUAGAAAUUGCCUUCAUCCAAGGUGUAGCUGCAACUUAUGCUCUGAAGAGGAAGGAGCGACUGGCUCCACUGGUGGAUCAUGAAUUGCCAAAUGGAGAUGUGCUUAGUAUCUUCCAUUGGAUUUCUAGAAGGAGACCAUUUGGGGGAAAGUGAUGCUAUAAGGCAAAGCUGCAAGGUCUCUACUGUGUGGAUUCGAUUGGGGGACUCUGGACUUGAGGUGACUUUUUUUCCAACUUCCGUAGAGUCACAGCAUCCAACUGCCUCGUUGCAUAUAAUGCAGGACCUUGGUGUAGAUCUUAAUUAACGUGGGCAAGACUCAACUUUGUUUUUAAUUGAACCUCUUUUUUAAAAAACAAAAAGAACAACACCGAUAUGGAUUCCUGAGUGACGCCAACAGCACAUGGAGAUUUUCCAAGGCUAGUUUAAGUGGACCUACUUCUGAAAAGAAGCUUGCGUGGGGGGGCAUUUGCACUGGCACGAGGAGAAAUGCACACAGCGGUGACCUGCAAGUGAGGUGACUCUGUGCACUCUCUUGUGCAAUCCCAAACCAUCUGUGGUUGCAGCAUGUCUGUGGAAUCGGCUUCUCAGGAGUUCUCUGCGUCAUUUGUUCCACCCCCACCCUGCCCUGCCCUCCAGGCCAGCUUCCGAACAGACUAAUUCCAAAUUGCUGACUGGACGGUUUUAUCUUUCAGCUGGCUUUGGUGCUUGUUGGGGCUCUUAAAUAUCUUUGGUAUAGCAAGUGAAACCACAAAAAACUUUAUUUUUUCUCUGUCCUUAUUUGUAUGAGUUUUUAAGUAAUGUGAUUUGGGGGGGGGCAAUCUCAAAACCAUAUUGCUUGGAAUGUGUCCUGGCUGAUUUCCUCAGCGACUCUCAAAUCAUUUCAGAACUAUCACCCUAACUUUGAUUUAGAAAUUCUGGAGAAGAAGGAAGACUAAUACCCAGUACCGCCUGAUCAGAAUCUAAAUGAGGCAGUGAGACAUCAGAAUGGGAAACUGGAGUGGUAGAGACUCUCCUUUUGAUUUUCUCCCCCUCCCCAGUGCAUCUGUGGCCAUCUGCUUGUCUGCUUUAUUUGGUCAUGUCCCUCCCCCCCCAAAAAAAAACAACCCGUGGCAUUGUCACAGCACUUUUUAAAACAAACAAACAAACCAACAAUUGUGAACCAAGAACCUUGUCAAGCACACAAACAUCUCCACAAUGUGAAAUGUAUAUAGCAUGUUGGACUCUCUGCGUCCAGUGUUCAAGACUGCAUUGUAAUUGUUUAAAAAAGAAAGAAAGAAAUUGAAUCAAGACUUGGCUGUGAAUUUAUUUUUUCGUGUGUGUGCUGUCCUGGAAAUAAGUGUAGUGUUUUGUAUCCUGUAUGUUAAUGUUAGCUGACUCCAUUUUGAGUUCAUUUUUGCUUAUUAAAAGAAAAAAAAAAAGAAGGGUUCAGUGUACAACCUUGGCGUUCAUCCAUGUGUUCAUCCAUCUGAGGAGUUUGAUUCUCCUCUGUUGUCCCCUAUUCCUUGUUAAAUACCACUGGAAACAUAUUUUAAUUUAGUGCCUCGGUUGUGACCAGCUUAGCAGUGAUGGAAGGAGAGGGAGGCCCAGAAUUUCCCAAACCACAGAUUGCAUGUUCACGGAAAGGGUGUGUGUGUGUGUGUGUGUGUGUGUGUGCGUGCUCAGGGUACGAUUUCCACGUUACUGCUUAGCCCAGACACUUGGUGGCACCUAGAUGCAUCUGGGCCAUACAGCUUGUGACCUACCAAGCCAAACAGCACACCCCACGCAACAAGCUGCCUGUUUUUGUUUUUACUGCCUGCCUGGUAGUGCAGAAAUGGCAGUGUUGAAACUCCUGGCGGGCUACUUUCUGUAAGCAGAUGGGGAGCCAGUUUCACUUGGCUUGAAUUUGUGCAUGCCUUGGAAUUCUUGGUGCUAAACACUAUUUAGAAAGCCUGUGCCACCUCUGCUCUUUAUCCCUUGUUAGGAUGAGCAUUGUGUGUGUUCAUAAAGGGGAAGAAUACUACCUACAUUUUGCAGUAAUCAAUGUCGCAGUGGCUGACCCAGCCAUGAGAAAGAAGUUGAGCUGCUCUCUUUUGACACAGCUUUAGCCUGCAGUUUAAGUUCCUUCUUCAGCAUGAAAGGUUGAAAGUCAUAGGACCAUUUCACAAAAUGCUGUGUGUCAGAUUGUAACAGAGAUAUUGUGGGAUAGUUUUGGUUGUGUGAAAUGUGUCCCAUGCAUAAGGUUUCGUGUGGUACUCAUGAAUUGGAGGCAAGCCUAUGUGAUUCACAUGCGGAAAACACUUCUUAAAAGGCCACACAGAUACAAGUCAGUGUUAACCUACGCUGUUCUUGCCUACUUUGAAUAUCAGGCAAGAUAUUUCUUUUCCAGGACCAGCCUCCCAUGAGGAUUAAUAGCUAGGAGGCUUGUAUUUCAGCUGCUUAUGCCAUACAAACAUUUAUCUCACACAUUUCCUGAAUUUUCAGGCUAUAAUUCAUUGUGCUCUCUUUGAAUUGCCUGCAAUAUUAAAUCAGUUGGGUUCCCCGUUUCUUCACCUUAAAUAUUUCCCAUUUCUGUUACUCAUGUUUAAUCUGUAACUUGGGUUGUUGGACUCCAACUCCCAUUAGCCCCAGCCAAUGGUUCUAAUCGUCAUGGAUGAUGGGAACUCUAAUUCAGCAACAUCUGGAGGGCUUUCCCCACCCUGUUUGUUAUAACUAAUGGCUGGCCAGGACCCCAAAAACCUUUAAGUCUAACCCAGUGUCUGGGUUGUGUCUUGAGGAGCAGGCCCCAAGCCACAUGGGAGCUUGUUGUUUGAAAGGAGUCUACGAGGCAUGUGAGAGCCCUUGGAAACCUCUAGAGCAGGCUUCCUCAAACUCUGCCCUCCAGAUGUUUUUGGCCUACAACUCCCAUGAUCCCUAGGUAGCAGGACCAGUGGUCAGGGAUGAUGGGAAUUGUAGUCUCAAAACAUCUGUAGGGCCGAGUUUGAGGAAGCCUGCUCUAGAGUAGCUUUUUGGAUCUUAGCCAUUUAUGUGUAUGUGUGUGUGAGAGAGAUUGCUAUGCACAGCUAGUUGAAGGACUUCAGAGUUUGAUUCCUGGAAUGUUAUCUGCUAAAACAAGAAAGAAUCUCAGCUGCUAAUCUUUAUUUUUGAUCUUGCCGAAGAGAAAGAAGAUGCAGAGACACACUUUGUUUUUCCAAGGAAUCUGAUUAAAAAAUGACCCAGUAGAACUAAUCGCAGCCUUGAGAAGUCCACAUUGCUGAAAAGGAAGUGGGAGAGAGCCACUCUUCCAACUUCCUGUUUCAGCUCUAUGUACUUUUAAUCACCUGUAUCGCCUAAUGAUCGGGGGGGGGAGUGAGUGGGGAGGCUCUGUGGGUGCCAGGGGGAGAUCUCAAGGGCGCUGCAUUGGCAACCCAUUGCUUAAGCUCCCAUAACCUCUAAAGUGUGGGGUGGUUGAUUAAAGGAGCCACCGUAUCAGGAAUGGGAAACUUGAUGGGACCAUCCAAGUGAGAGCUGGGAUCCCCUAGACUUUUCAUUCUUGAUUGACGUGCAGUUGUCAGAUGAGAGUUUGGUGGUGGGAUUGGGGAGAUGGCUUGGCUUCACUAGACUCCAGUUUUCCUCUGUAAACGAGGCAACUCUCCUCUCGCCCAACUGGGUGACGUUUUGCUUUGACAUCCUGCAUAGGAAGAUGCUGAGGUGUGGGUUUUUAUUUAUUUAUUUAUAACAAGAAAACUGCCCCUUCUGGGUGCACUUGAACCAAAAAAAGAGCCAGUUUUUAAGCAGGCAGCUAUGAGGAAAGCAAAGCGUUAUUCCUUUCAAUAUUUAAAGAGGGGUUGCUCUACUCCCUCAGGAUCCUACUAGGUGCUGAGUGUCUUCAACAACAACAACAACAACACUGUCCUCUCUAUGCAAUGUUGGUUUUUUCUAUUUUACGAUCCCAACCCUUAGGAUUCUUAUACAGUACUCUGAAUUUCUCCACCACAAGGGCUCCAUCUCCAGAGAGUAUUGAAGUAAUUGGCAUGAAUGUUGCCACUUCACACACACACACACACACACACACACACACACACACUGCGUCAGGUGUUUUGGUGCUGUUAAAUUUGCUUCUAGGAUUUGCCAACUAGGGUGAGCCAGCUAUGGUAGCUGUGCUUUUCAUUAGCAGACCAAUGGCAGCCACAAAUUGGGAGAUGACUGCGUUUGUCCCCAUGCUGUAAAAAGGUUCUUCUGCUUUCUGGGCACUGAUCUGCAAGGAAAGGCACAAGAAUAGGCCAGGCUGCUUUUCCUGGUCAGUUGGCAACCCUAGCUGUAAGAUCGUCCUGGAUCCUUUGUUAGCAAGAGUCAACAUGGGAAUUGCCUGAGGACUUCUCUCUUCUGGCUUCUUCUCUCCCUCACCUUUUGACUUGCUGUCACAGAAACGUACCAGGGAAGACAAAACUGACAUUUUCUCUCUCUCCUAACUUGGUUUUGUUUAAAACCACAAUGGCUGUACUGUAUAUCAUGCCACUUUAUGCAUAUAUAAAGAUACACAUGUAUAUGUGUGUAAUUUUUUUAAGCCUUUGAACAUGACUAGUUGCUUUCAAGUGUUCUGCACUUACCCCAAAUGUUUUGAAAUUUUGUGGGGGUAUAAACUGAGGAGUGAGCCUGUUUUUGUAUCCUUCCCUUUCCUCUCAUUAGUUUUAUUGUACUGUAACCAUUUUUUAUUUUUUUUUACUGGUUUGGGUUUUCUUCCCCCCUUGUUCAGCAAAUGCUAAACAAAAAGUUCUAAAUGGUUUCUAUUCAGCUUCAGUUUAAUGUUUUAAAAUAAACUUGGAAAAGGCA